GACGAACCGAGCGAACGUUGUUCGGAAUCACUGGGCUUAAAGGGCGCGUAGGCGGGCGAUCAAGUCAGGGGUGAAAGCCCCCAGCUCAACUGGGGAAGUGCCUCUGAUACUGAUCGUCUCGAGGGGGAUAGGGGCGUGCGGAACUUCCGGUGGAGCGGUGAAAUGCGUAGAUAUCGGAAGGAACACCGGUGGCGAAAGCGGCGCGCUGGAUCCCUUCUAACGCUGAGGCGCGAAAGCCAGGGGAGCAAACGGG
This 253-nucleotide ribosomal RNA is filed under the name uncultured bacterium. RNAcentral's name for it is "partial 16S ribosomal RNA". It matches the Rfam family "Bacterial small subunit ribosomal RNA", at positions 524 to 776 of the family's 1533-position model. The record is from RNAcentral.